UGUGCAAAUGAUGAGGAAACAGACAGGGACAUCAGAUCUUUUAUUGGAGAAAGAUGACUUAGUCUAAUGGGAAUCUCUCUGAUGCAUU
Small nucleolar RNA from Andrographis paniculata, 88 nucleotides. RefSeq annotates it as small nucleolar RNA R44/J54/Z268 family. The record is from RefSeq and is a predicted model, not a curated record. The transcript has a single exon. NCBI's taxonomy places the organism in Eukaryota, Viridiplantae, Streptophyta, Magnoliopsida, Lamiales, Acanthaceae.